Molecule: non-coding RNA, 492 nt
Organism: Tachyglossus aculeatus (Australian echidna)
Lineage: Eukaryota; Metazoa; Chordata; Mammalia; Monotremata; Tachyglossidae
Source: the annotation of a RefSeq genome assembly
AUGCUGGGUUAUGUCACCUUUGUCCUCGCUGCCCUGCUCCCUGCUGGCCAGACAGCGCUCAUCAUAGACCAGCCAAUGGUCUCCCACACCAAACGGGCUGGGUCAUCGGCAUCAUUUCUCUGCAAGCCUUCUGGCCAAAGCAUCACCUACAUCCACUGGUACCGCCAACAGCCCAGGAAGUCUCCCCAGCGCCUGCUCUACUGUAGCGUGGCCACAUCUCAAUCCAGGCUGGAUGCAGGAUUCAGCUCCGAUAAAUAUUCUACUUACCAGAGCACAGAUCAUAGCUGUACCCUGAAAGUACGGAAACUGAGCACGAGUGAUACCGGCACCUAUUACUGUGCCAGCUGGGACUCCACGGUGACAGAGUUCCCUCCGUGCCUCAUACAAAAAACCACCACCUGUGGUCACCAGGAGACAUGGUCACAGGAGACAAUCAAUCCUUUAUUCCAGAGUAUCAACAGAACACCUAUGGUGCACAAGACACUGCACUAA